RNAcentral lists this ribosomal RNA (274 nucleotides) under uncultured bacterium. RNAcentral describes it as "partial 16S ribosomal RNA". It matches the Rfam family "Bacterial small subunit ribosomal RNA", at positions 523 to 796 of the family's 1533-position model. The record is from RNAcentral.
AUACGGAGGGCGCGAGCGUUAUUCGGAAUCAUUGGGCGUAAAGCGCGUGUAGGCGGCUGGGUAGGUCGGAUGUGAAAGCCCGGGGCUCAACUCCGGAAUUGCAUUCGAAACUGCCCAGCUAGAGUCUCGGAGAGGAGGGCGGAAUUCCCGGUGUAGAGGUGAAAUUCGUAGAUAUCGGGAGGAACACCAGUGGCGAAGGCGGCCCUCUGGACGAUGACUGACGCUGAGACGCGAAAGCGUGGGGAGCAAACAGGAUUAGAAACCACAGUAGUCC